This 493-nucleotide ribosomal RNA is filed under the name uncultured bacterium. RNAcentral's name for it is "bacterial SSU rRNA". It matches the Rfam family "Bacterial small subunit ribosomal RNA", at positions 8 to 518 of the family's 1533-position model. The record is from RNAcentral.
AGAGUUUGAUUAUGGCUCAGGAUGAACGCUGGCGGCGUGCCUAACACAUGCAAGUCGAACGAUGAAACCGCCCUCGGGCGGACAUGAAGUGGCGAACGGGUGAGUAACACGUGACCAACCUGCCCCGCGCUCCGGGACAGCCUCGGGAAACCGGGGUUAAUACCGGAUGCGCCCCGGCGGCCGCAUGGCGGCCGGGGGAAAGCCCAGGCGGCGCGGGAUGGGGUCGCGGCCCAUCAGGUAGUAGGCGGGGUGGAGGCCCGCCUAGCCGACGACGGGUAGCCGGGUUGAGAGACCGACCGGCCACAUUGGGACUGAGAUACGGCCCAGACUCCUACGGGAGGCAGCAGUGGGGAAUAUUGCGCAAUGGGGGCAACCCUGACGCAGCAACGCCGCGUGCGGGAAGACGGCCCUCGGGUUGUAAACCGCUUUCAGCAGGGAAGAUUGCGACGGUACCUGCAGAAGAAGCCCCGGCUAACUACGUGCCAGCAGCCGC